RNAcentral lists this ribosomal RNA (469 nucleotides) under uncultured bacterium. Its description in RNAcentral is "partial 16S ribosomal RNA". It matches the Rfam family "Bacterial small subunit ribosomal RNA", at positions 27 to 507 of the family's 1533-position model. The record is from RNAcentral.
GGACGAACGCUGGCGGCGUGCUUAACACAUGCAAGUCGAACGGUGAUGCUCCAGCUUGCUGGAGUGGAUCAGUGGCGAACGGGUGAGUAACACGUGAGCAACCUGCCCCAGACUCUGGAAUAAGCGCUGGAAACGGCGUCUAAUACUGGAUACGAAACUGGCCCGCCUGGGCAUGGUUUGGAAAGUUUUUCGGUUUGGGAUGGGCUCGCGGCCUAUCAGCUUGUUGGUGAGGUAAUGGCUCACCAAGGCGACGACGGGUAGCCGGCCUGAGAGGGCGACCGGCCACACUGGGACUGAGACACGGCCCAGACUCCUACGGGAGGCAGCAGUGGGGAAUAUUGCACAAUGGGCGAAAGCCUGAUGCAGCGACGCCGCGUGAGGGAUGACGGCCUUCGGGUUGUAAACCUCUUUCAGCAGGGAAGAAGCGAAAGUGACGGUACCUGCAGAAGAAGCACCGGCUAACUACGUG